This 455-nucleotide ribosomal RNA is filed under the name uncultured bacterium. RNAcentral's name for it is "bacterial SSU rRNA". It matches the Rfam family "Bacterial small subunit ribosomal RNA", at positions 340 to 786 of the family's 1533-position model. The record is from RNAcentral.
UACGGGAGGCAGCAGUGGGGAAUAUUGCACAAUGGGCGCAAGCCUGAUGCAGCCAUGCCGCGUGUAUGAAGAAGGCCUUCGGGUUGUAAAGUACUUUCAGUCGUGAGGAAGGUGUUAAGGUUAAUAACCUUAGCAAUUGACGUUAGCGACAGAAGAAGCACCGGCUAACUCCGUGCCAGCAGCCGCGGUAAUACGGAGGGUGCGAGCGUUAAUCGGAAUUACUGGGCGUAAAGGGCACGCAGGCGGUUAAUUAAGUUGGAUGUGAAAUCCUCGGGCUUAAACCUGGGAAUGGCAUUCAAGACUGGUUAGCUAGAGUCUUGUAGAGGGGGGUAGAAUUCCAUGUGUAGCGGUGAAAUGCGUAGAGAUGUGGAGGAAUACCGGUGGCGAAGGCGGCCCCCUGGACAAAGACUGACGCUCAUGUGCGAAAGCGUGGGGAGCAAACAGGAUUAGAUACC